This 402-nucleotide ribosomal RNA is filed under the name uncultured bacterium. RNAcentral describes it as "bacterial SSU rRNA". It matches the Rfam family "Bacterial small subunit ribosomal RNA", at positions 355 to 774 of the family's 1533-position model. The record is from RNAcentral.
UGGGGAAUCUUGCGCAAUGGGCGAAAGCCUGACGCAGCCAUGCCGCGUGAAUGAUGAAGGUCUUAGGAUUGUAAAAUUCUUUCACCGGGGACGAUAAUGACGGUACCCGUAGAAGAAGCCCCGGCUAACUUCGUUCCAGCAGCCGCGGUAAUACGAAGGGGGCUAGCGUUGCUCGGACUUACUGUGCGUAAAGUGAGCGUAGUCGGACAUUUAAGUCAGGGGUGAAAUCCCCGGGCUCAACCUCGGAAUUGCCUUUGAUCCUGGGUGUCUUGAGUGUGAGAGAGGGAUGGGGAACGACGAGUGUAGAGGGGAAAGUAGUAGAUAGUCGGAGGAACACAAGUGGCGAAGGAGACAUAAUGGCUCAUUACUGACGCUGAGGCUCGAAAGCGUGGGGAGCAAACA